GUCUUGGCUUGCGGCGACGAGCUCCGGGCCGGGAUCUCCACCGCCGAGACAAGGGGUCGCUUCGGCGCCGUGCCCUAAUCGGAGCUGCUGGUCUAGGUAUGCAAUCAUCAUCUCCGCAGGCUGUUCUCACUCUUUGAAGGUCAUUUCAUUAAUUACCAAAUGCUCAACAGAACUUAUUCAAUGGAUGUCUCUUUCUAUCAAAACUCAACAGGUUCUUGAUCAGUGCUUUUCGAUAGGCCAUGCCUUCAAGGUGCAUUUGCAUACGGGCUGACGGGAGAGGGAUGCACUAACAAAAGCCAUAGAUUUCAGAAUCUUUUGUUCCUACAUGGAAAAGUUUUGGAUUGACCUUGGCAUAGGCUAUUGGCUGAAGUCUCUGGCUACUGUUAAGAAUGUUACGCAAAGGGAAAUACAAGUUUAUGUAAAGCUUUCUCCAGGGAUGGAGAUGGAAAGCUGGGUUUUGGAGCUUGAAUGUUCCUCGAGAUCCAUCCACGGAGACGUCUCCUUGCUCUUCUGUG
Dioscorea cayenensis subsp. rotundata (Guinea yam) is the source of this 515-nucleotide long non-coding RNA. RefSeq lists it as uncharacterized. The record is from RefSeq and is a predicted model, not a curated record. NCBI's taxonomy places the organism in Eukaryota, Viridiplantae, Streptophyta, Magnoliopsida, Dioscoreales, Dioscoreaceae. The transcript has 7 exons.